GAUGAACGCUGGCGGCGUGCCUAAUACAUGCAAGUCGAGCGAACAGACGAGGAGCUUGCUCCUCUGACGUUAGCGGCGGACGGGUGAGUAACACGUGGAUAACCUACCUAUAAGACUGGGAUAACUUCGGGAAACCGGAGCUAAUACCGGAUAAUAUAUUGAACCGCAUGGUUCAAUAGUGAAAGACGGUUUUGCUGUCACUUAUAGAUGGAUCCGCGCCGCAUUAGCUAGUUGGUAAGGUAACGGCUUACCAAGGCGACGAUGCGUAGCCGACCUGAGAGGGUGAUCGGCCACACUGGAACUGAGACACGGUCCAGACUCCGACGGGAGGCAGCAGUAGGGAAUCUUCCGCAAUGGGCGAAAGCCUGACGGAGCAACGCCGCGUGAGUGAUGAAGGUCUUCGGAUCGUAAAACUCUGUUAUUAGGGAAGAACAAAUGUGUAAGUAACGAUGCACGUCUUGACGGUACCUAAUCAGAAAGCCACGGCUAACUACGU
Molecule: ribosomal RNA, 496 nt
Filed under: uncultured bacterium
Lineage: Bacteria
Description: partial 16S ribosomal RNA
Rfam family: Bacterial small subunit ribosomal RNA
Source: RNAcentral